Molecule: ribosomal RNA, 1374 nt
Filed under: uncultured bacterium
Lineage: Bacteria
Description: bacterial SSU rRNA
Rfam family: Bacterial small subunit ribosomal RNA
Source: RNAcentral
GAUGAACGCUGGCGGCGUGCCUAAUACAUGCAAGUCGAGCGAACGGACGAGAAGCUUGCUUCUCUGAUGUUAGCGGCGGACGGGUGAGUAACACGUGGAUAACCUACCUAUAAGACUGGGAUAACUUCGGGAAACCGGAGCUAAUACCGGAUAAUAUUUUGAACCGCAUGGUUCAAAAGUGAAAGACGGUCUUGCUGUCACUUAUAGAUGGAUCCGCGCUGCAUUAGCUAGUUGGUAAGGUAACGGCUUACCAAGGCAACGAUGCAUAGCCGACCUGAGAGGGUGAUCGGCCACACUGGAACUGAGACACGGUCCAGACUCCUACGGGAGGCAGCAGUAGGGAAUCUUCCGCAAUGGGCGAAAGCCUGACGGAGCAACGCCGCGUGAGUGAUGAAGGUCUUCGGAUCGUAAAACUCUGUUAUUAGGGAAGAACAUAUGUGUAAGUAACUGUGCACAUCUUGACGGUACCUAAUCAGAAAGCCACGGCUAACUACGUGCCAGCAGCCGCGGUAAUACGUAGGUGGCAAGCGUUAUCCGGAAUUAUUGGGCGUAAAGCGCGCGUAGGCGGUUUUUUAAGUCUGAUGUGAAAGCCCACGGCUCAACCCGUGGAGGGUCAUUGGAAACUGGAAAACUUGAGUGCAGAAGAGGGAAAGUGGAAUUCCAUGUGUAGCGGUGAAAUGCGCAGAGAUAUGGAGGAACACCAGUGGCGAAGGCGACUUUCUGGUCUGUAACUGACGCUGAUGUGCGAAAGCGUGGGGAUCAAACAGGAUUAGAUACCCUGGUAGUCCACGCCGUAAACGAUGAGUGCUAAGUGUUAGGGGGUUUCCGCCCCUUAGUGCUGCAGCUAACGCAUUAAGCACUCCGCCUGGGGAGUACGACCGCAAGGUUGAAACUCAAAGGAAUUGACGGGGACCCGCACAAGCGGUGGAGCAUGUGGUUUAAUUCGAAGCAACGCGAAGAACCUUACCAAAUCUUGACAUCCUUUGACAACUCUAGAGAUAGAGCCUUCCCCUUCGGGGGACAAAGUGACAGGUGGUGCAUGGUUGUCGUCAGCUCGUGUCGUGAGAUGUUGGGUUAAGUCCCGCAACGAGCGCAACCCUUAAGCUUAGUUGCCAUCAUUAAGUUGGGCACUCUAAGUUGACUGCCGGUGACAAACCGGAGGAAGGUGGGGAUGACGUCAAAUCAUCAUGCCCCUUAUGAUUUGGGCUACACACGUGCUACAAUGGACAAUACAAAGGGCAGCGAAACCGCGAGGUCAAGCAAAUCCCAUAAAGUUGUUCUCAGUUCGGAUUGUAGUCUGCAACUCGACUACAUGAAGCUGGAAUCGCUAGUAAUCGUAGAUCAGCAUGCUACGGUGAAUACGUUCCCGGGUCU